Molecule: long non-coding RNA, 1932 nt
Organism: Calidris pugnax (ruff)
Lineage: Eukaryota; Metazoa; Chordata; Aves; Charadriiformes; Scolopacidae
Exons: 2
Source: RefSeq, a predicted model, not a curated record
CGUUCCUGGGCCUGCUCUCUUUUUCCCUUCCUGCAUUAGAGAUUGGCUAUAAGGAGAAGGCUGACGGCUGCAGCAUGAAGCGCAUUAUUACCUUGUGAUUCCAUGACCCUCCUCUAUGCAUCCCUAACUCUCGAAAGCUGAUUCAGCUUUCAGCUAGUGCUCUGGUGAGUCCUCUGCUGCAACAGAACCUCCUAACUGGCAGCUUGGAGUAACGGGUUUGGGCAGUGAAGUGAUCCGCAGCACUUCCCCUUACAACGCAGAGCCUGUAUUUCUUGGGGAGCUGUACUGCUGGCCCACUUGCAAUAUUUCUGCGUGCAGUGGUUAUAAGCGCAGGUGCUUUUUUCCUCGUAUCAUCUUGCAGCCUGGUGGGCUGCCGAGGAAGAGGGGGGAAAAGUCACCUUUGCCUUAUGACGCAUAUAAAUUCUUUAAAUAGGUUAUGCACAUGGCAAUGUGCAAUAUCUGCGCCCGGCUCUGGGUUAAGAAGGAAAGGCCCCAGUUUAUUGGCUCCCACUGCAGAAAUGAUCGGAGCCGCUGUGAUUUUUAAAUUUGAUUUACCGAGUUAUUUUUAGCAGUGGGGUGGUCAUGCUGCAGGGCUCUCCAGGAGAAACCAGCUCCCCAGCACUGCGGCCCCCAAACCUGCGGGCGAGCGGCUGGGGCAGGGCUGCCUGGCAGGGGCUCGCUUUCACCAUCCAGGGGGCAAACUGCCUGAUUAUGAGACUGCAAGAGAGAAAAGUCAUGUUUUUUUUUUUUCCAUUUCCCCCCUCCCCUCUUUCUUUUCCUUUCCUCUUGGUUUCUGGUGAUGGCAAAUGCAACCAUCACUCGUCUCAAGCACAUCUUGAGAAAAACCACUGAUUUUAACACCGGAUGAGAAAACGCAGGGUAGGGAGGAUGAGCCUGCCAACCUCUAAAAAAAGUAUUCAGGUAUUUCAGCCUUUUCCCUCCCAUUUUCCAAGGAGGGCUGUGAGCUCUGCAGCCCUGAGUUCCUGGGCUGUGGGCUGGGCUGGCUGUAGCAAAGCCCAUCUCUGCUUUGCCUCCGCCGCCUGUCGGGUGGCACUUCAGACUCUGAAACACGGGGCUCGGAGGAGGACAGCAGACCAUAAAACACUGACAGGAAGAAGGCAGGAGGUGACAAUUAAAGUAUCUGGAUUAAAACAAUAGCCUUUACUUAUGUCACCCUGUAAUAGCAACGUGGCUCUCGAAACAUACAGAGCCAAAUAUCGAGUUUAGAAACGCUCCAGGCUGGUGGUUACUGCUGCAGACUCUUCUGCUGCUAUUAAACCUGCCUCUUUAAUUCAGACCUGCUCUUCAGCCGUAGCCUCUAAGAAGCUUAAAUAAAUCCCAACUGCCUGAAAGUGAAGCCAUUUCAACCACUGCAACGUCAGGCAGCGAGUUGAGAAGAGGGGCAGGCAGCUGGGGAAGAAAAGACCCCGAGGAAUUCCCCUCUUUGCUGGCCACCGCCCGUGAGGCCAAAUGCUUUGCUAAAGCUGGUAAAAUGGAACCAAAUCACCUCUUCAAUGGAUUUGGUCCCCUUCAACCAGCUGUAGCUGUGCAUUGAUCUCUCAGACCCACCUCGGAGGAUGGAACGCUUGAACCGGACGGAGACAUCUCAGGUAGCAGAAGACAAAUGGCCACAUGAACCCUGCCGAUAAGGAAAUUAUGAUGACUGGCAUCUGCAGAUCUAUCACCCGGGCUCUAAACUGGUGGGCUGAGCCUGAGUCAUUAUGUGGUUGCCAGUCAAUUCUGCCUAACGGAGACCACUCAAGAUUGAUAAUCUCUAUCGUCCUCCCGUAUUGAUCUCGGCUGCAAUUCAGGACCGUGUAUUUCAACUGCAAAUGCUCUGCAUUUUCAUAUGUAUUCGCUCGUGCCCACCCGGGAGCCCCCCUGCCUCCGUGUUUCACCUGCUGCAAGGAAGAAUAAAGGUUUUGAUCCGAA